UAUACAACAUUUAUCUUUCAGCGCAUAAAAUAAAAAAUGGCUUCAACAACGUAAUAAAGGAAACCUAAUAAAGUGGAUAAUUUUAGUCGACACUGAAAGAUAAUAUAAUGACUUUUCUGAAUUAAAUUUAUUGUGGACGCAUGAUAGUAUGCUUAGUGUUUGCAGUUGUCUUAAGAUUAAAUCAUUUUAUUUAACAAGUGGUUAUUAUAGCAAGGAUAGUUUCUUAUAAAUGCAUAGUCUCCUGAACUGUUGAUCCUGUUCUUAGAAUCUCUGCCAUACACCGUUUCCUAUUUUUACUUUUGCAAUAUUCUGAAGUUUAAAAGCAUUCAAAAAAUAUGUUGUCAUGGAUAAAGCUUGAAGGAGGAUUGUGACCAUAUUUCACAAAUGCUUAUCAAAAUGUUAAAACAUGUAACAUUCAGCAAUAUACCAACAGGCUUGGAUCUCAUGACAAGCAUAAUGUUUUUAAAUAACGUUAAUAAAAUUCUCAAUAGUAAA
This is a long non-coding RNA of Hydra vulgaris (swiftwater hydra), 495 nucleotides long. RefSeq lists it as uncharacterized. Lineage: Eukaryota; Metazoa; Cnidaria; Hydrozoa; Anthoathecata; Hydridae. The record is from RefSeq and is a predicted model, not a curated record.